Molecule: long non-coding RNA, 233 nt
Filed under: Mytilus galloprovincialis (Mediterranean mussel)
Lineage: Eukaryota; Metazoa; Mollusca; Bivalvia; Mytilida; Mytilidae
Source: RNAcentral
GACUUCUUCAGAAUAAUGAAUUUUAUCAAAUUAUCAUGCACUUAAUAUAUUUCCUUAACUUUAAAACACUUUCAAACUCUUAAAUGGUGCACAUGAUGUUACUAAUUCAUUUAGUAUGCCUGUAAUGUGUUGCAUUCCGAAAUUGAUAUAUUUGACCUAGAUACGACAACCGUUCAUGCUGGCUGUUGAAACUCUUCCCUCUGAAAAAUCACAGUGCCGGCCGUUUGCUUUUU